RNAcentral lists this ribosomal RNA (500 nucleotides) under uncultured Glomeromycotina. Its description in RNAcentral is "partial small subunit ribosomal RNA". It matches the Rfam family "Eukaryotic small subunit ribosomal RNA", at positions 591 to 1092 of the family's 1831-position model. Lineage: Eukaryota; Fungi; Glomeromycota. The record is from RNAcentral.
CCAAUAGCGUAUAUUAAAGUUGUUGCAGUUAAAAAGCUCGUAGUUGAAUUUCGGGGUUAGUAGGUUGGUCAUGCCUCUGGUAUGUACUGGUCUCACUGAUUCCUCCUUCCUGAUGAGCCGUAAUGCCAUUAAUUUGGUGUUGCGAGGAAUUUGGACUGUUACUUUGAAAAAAUUAGAGUGUUUAAAGCAAGCUAACGCUUGAAUACAUUAGCAUGGAAUAAUGAAAUAGGACGUUCGAUCCUAUUUUGUUGGUUUCUAGGAUUGACGUAAUGAUUAAUAGGGAUAGUUGGGGGCAUUAGUAUUCAAUUGUCAGAGGUGAAAUUCUUGGAUUUAUUGAAGACUAACUACUGCGAAAGCAUUUGCCAAGGAUGUUUUCAUUAAUCAAGAACGAAAGUUAGGGGAUCGAAGACGAUCAGAUACCGUCGUAGUCUUAACCAUAAACUAUGCCGACUAGGGAUCGGAUGAUGUUAAUUUUUUAAUGACUCAUUCGGCGCCUUACG